AUUGAACGCUGGCGGAAUGCUUUACACAUGCAAGUCGAACGGCAGCACGGGGGCGAACCCUCGGUGGCGAGUGGCGAACGGGUGAGUAAUACAUCGGAACGUGCCCAGUCGUGGGGGAGUAACUACGCGAAAGCGUAGCUAAUACCGCAUACGAUCUACGGAUGAAAGCGGGGGAGUCGCAAGACCUCGCGCGAUUGGAGCGGCCGAUGGCAGAUUAGGUUGUUGG
Molecule: ribosomal RNA, 226 nt
Filed under: uncultured bacterium
Lineage: Bacteria
Description: partial 16S ribosomal RNA
Rfam family: Bacterial small subunit ribosomal RNA
Source: RNAcentral